UACAGAGGGGGCAAGCGUUGUUCGGAAUUACUGGGCGUAAAGGGCGCGUAGGCGGCCCGCUAAGUCGAACGUGAAAUCCCCAGGCUCAACCUGGGAACUGCGUCCGAUACUGGCAGGCUUGAAUCCGGGAGAGGGAUGUGGAAUUCCAGGUGUAGCGGUGAAAUGCGUAGAUAUCUGGAGGAACACCGGUGGCGAAGGCGGCAUCCUGGACCGGUAUUGACGCUGAGGCGCGAAAGUGUGGGGAGCGAACAGG
RNAcentral lists this ribosomal RNA (253 nucleotides) under uncultured bacterium. RNAcentral describes it as "partial 16S ribosomal RNA". It matches the Rfam family "Bacterial small subunit ribosomal RNA", at positions 524 to 776 of the family's 1533-position model. The record is from RNAcentral.